AAAAAUUUGGCGCUCUAAUAUUAUUUCAUUUUAUUUCUAACCUUACCAAUUUCAUCCGAGCCCUAGUUUCUCUUCAGCCUCCCCAAUCGUCUCCAUCUCUAUUCUCGGUCUCAAUUCUGAACUUGGCCCCCUCUCUCUCUGCAACUCCCCAAUCGACUCAAUCUCUCUCUUUGCAACUCCCCAAUUGCCUCCAUCUCUAUUCUCGUCUUAACUCUAAACUUGCGCCCCCCUCUCUCUACAACUCCCUAAUCGUGAUGACACGUGCCCCUCCUCCUCAACCACCCCCCUCUCUUAGCAAUUCUGUCUCUCUUAGCAAUUCUGCCUCCAAUCUCUCUGUCACUUUUCUCAUUUUCUCUCUCUACGUACCUAUACCAUACCAGUCUUGAUUGAUCAGAAUGGUGAAGCUUGUAUUGGCCCGAGAGAGUCGGAUAUAUGGACCCCAGCUGGCUCGAAACCGAUCUGAGUACAUAAACGCCGACCUAUACGUGUUCGCCACCAUUGUUCUUCUCUGUGGCUUCGUGGCUCAACUCUUCAGCGAGCCGAAAUUGGGUUUGGUUCUUCUACUUAUAGGCUUAGCUCUCAUAAUCUUUGUGAACGUUCACGAUCUCCUUGCUCAUCUCGCUGGCAUCGAUUACCAAUUGCCGUUGAUGGAAUUCCACGUCUAGCUUGGCCUCGUCGAGUUCGCCGUCCCCGUGGUUCAGAUUACAGCUACACUUCUCUAUUUCUUAGGGAUUCUUUUUAUUUUCAUUCAGGAGCAGAAAAUAAAAGAGGGUCAGUACAUGAUGGGUCUAAAAGAUGAGAUAUUCUAUUUUUCUUGGUUUAUUACAUACGCUUUGCAGGUGUCACUCUUGAAGAUCCUCACACUGAAGAACUCAGUCAAGAAGUUAGAGGGUUCAUAUUCUCUAAAAUUCUGAUUUUGAUGCCGGUAUUCCUUGGGCAACUACGUUAUAUUCAUAAGAACUUGUUCUAUACAGUUUUUGUUGUGGAUCCUGCAUCCAUUUAUGGACUUGAGGCAAGUUUUAUUGUGUAAAAAGUGACGUCAGUUCGUUGUAUGUGCAUUAUACUGUUGCCAGAAUUACUUAUCUAAUUUUAGUUUCAUUGUCUUUUGCGGGCAAUUGACACGAUUAUUUCUUUGUACGAGAAUAGUUUUCCUAUGAGAUUUGGGGUGAUAUUGUACUCAACAAAGUUUAUCAAGAAGAUUGAAUCGAAUAGUGGAGAACUCCCAUUAGAUCCUGUGGAAAAUAACAGUGGGACAGAGGAAGAUGUGUCCAGUUUGGUACUUCUUUCUAUCUUAUUGUACCGUCUUUUUACAUCUCAAACAUGUCUAGGCUAAAUUUGAUAAAUUUGUACAAUACGUUAUAUGCAUUUAAGGAGAAUGCCUUAGAUAAUCCAGACAGAUGCAUUUUCUGACUUCGGCCUGAACUACAUCAUUUUAAAUAGAAAUAUGUUUUACUACUCCUAACAGUUUUACUUAAACCUCAUAAGAGUACAAAUUUUUGUUAUAGUAAUUUGAAAAUCAGAUUUUUAACGAAUCAGUUAUAGAAAAGGUUUCUGUUCUAUCAUCUAGGUUGUAGUAACAAGUUCUGCCUUUUUUUUAGGAAACCAGUGACUCACCAUAGUUGAUAAAUAGCAUAGAUCCAGACAAAAACAAAAUACAAAACAUGCAUUGUCUCUUCAAAUCACUAAUUAUUAUAGAUUAUUUGCAAAAUUAAUAAUAAUUAUAGUUCCCACAACUAAUUUUAAUCAUUUGGAGAAUUAUUAUUGUAAAUGCUAUGAUUCACCACAUUAUCAUUCUUUUAGGGAAAUCUUGUUUCAUAUUGUUACUAUUAGAAAAUCUAUCUCUUUCUCUCUCACACACACACACACACCUUGUUUAUCUCCUAAAUUCUCUUCAGAUGAGUGAUUAUUCUUAGGUUCUAACGAACAUGACUUUGUUGCUAGUAUUUCUUAUAGCAGUUUAGUAGAACUCAGAAAUUAUUGUCUUAUAUAUAAUUUAGUAUGUAAAAGGUUUUGUGUAUGUUCUUGUGUUGUAUAUAUUCAUUUUCUAGUCAUGAUGCCAAUUCAGUUAAGGUUAUGAUCUUUAAUUUCUCUUAUAUAAAUUUUCAUUUAUUAUAAUGUGCGCUUAAUGAAUUUAUAAAAAAUGUUUGGUAAUUCAAAUCAAAUGGGCAAGAAGAGUUGUUAAAGUUGUAGUUGAAGCUGAAGAUGGGGUUGUGGUUAUGCUUUCAGCAUUUCUUUCACCUUGGAUGGGUUCUUUUUGAAAAACUUGUACUACAUUUGUAAAAAAUUCUUAAUUCUUUUUUUUGUCACAUUUAGUAGAUCUAGACAAUUUGGAUGGUAUUUUCAUAUUGGCAUGUUAACUUAUGGUUGUAUUAGUAGACAUUUUUUGAGUUUUGGUUGACAUUUACCAGCUUUAUCUAUUAGUAAACAAUUUCGAUGGUAUUUUUCAUAUUGGCAGUAGGUUAACUUGUGGUUGUAAUAUGUAAAAACAAUUUGGAUGGUACUUUUAUAUUGCCAACUUGUGUUAUAUUGGAUGACAUUUAGUAACCAAGACAUUUUUCAAAAACAAUAAAGGGCAAAAAAUAAAAAAAAAAAUAAAAUAAAAUAAAAAUGUGCCUUUACCGGCGCUUCUUAAAGAAGCGCUGGCAAAGAGGCGAAAAAAAAAAAAAAAAACAUAAAAUGACCUUUUACCAGCGCUUCUUAAAAAAGCGCUGAUAAAGACCUUAUACCAGCGCUUCUCAAAAAGUGCUGGUAAAGGGUCUAUACCAAUGCUUCUCAAAAAGCGCUGGUAAAGCCCUACCGACGCCAGAUUUACCAGUGUUUUUUCAAAAGCGCUGGUAAAACGCUGGUAAUUGAAUUACUAGCAUUUUUUGGGACUUUUACCAGCGUUUUUGAGCGCUGGUAAAAGCCAUAAUUGUUGUAGUGGAAGUGUUUACAAGUAUCUCAUUCUCUAUGAUUUACAGAUUUUAACUCACUCUAGAGAAUCAAUGAAUACAAGUGAAGCUCUCUCUCUAAGUGUGAUGAAUGUGAGAGGAUGAAGAAUAGAACAACAGCUCUGUAUCAAUGUGAAUAUCUCAGAACAAAAGCUCUGAAUGAUGGUCUGAAAAAUGCUCAAUAAAUUCGCAGCUUCUCUCUCUAGGUUUUGGCUAUGCAAGUUUGUAUAUAAGAAGUUGAAUGAUUGUUUAGAACAUGAGCUCUAUCAAAGAGUAAUACCAGAACAAAACCUCUGUAGAAUGGUAGAGCAAAAGCUCUCUUGGAUUUAUGAAAAUGGCUCCUUUAGCUCUGUUAAUUCAUCUUUGAAACUGAUGCAUAUUUAUGAAGUUCAUGAGAUGCAAUAUGACCGUUAUUUUGGAUUAUACUUGAUGGACAUAUGAAUAUCUGACUCUACGACGCUCGAAAUAUGUGUAUAAAGCCUGGAGCAAGAUUGCAGAAGUAUUGAAGAAGAUGCGCAACUUUGACACAUAAGGAAUGUAGCCGUUGGCUAUUCCUUCAGGACUUAGUCGACUUAGUUGUGAACUAAGUUGGUUGGGUUGAGAAGGGAGUCGGCUCAAUUAUGAAUUGAGUCGACUGGAUUAUUAAAUGAGCCAGCUGAAUUGAAUUUUGAUUUUGAUGAGCCUCGGCCUAACUGAGUCAGCUGGAUUCCAAACUGAGUCGGCUGAGUUGUGAAUUGAACAUGAUGAGCCUCAGCCUAAUCCAGUCGGCUGGAUUGCUAACUGAGUCGGUUGAGUUGCAUUAUAUCAGAAAUUCAAACUGUUUGUGAUCUGCAACAGGUAUCUACACAGGACUUCUGCACACAGCUUAUUUCCAUUAAAAACAUUAAAGUAAAUGUCUUUACAGUAUUUAUAUGUCAAUUUACUUUAAGUUUACAAUGUAAAUAAGGAAGUACCUCCCAUUUGGAUUCAAUAAAAAAUAUUAAAAAAUUGAAAUCCAACUAAAUCAAAAUGUAGAAAUUCAGUUUUAGUACAAAUUUGGAUUUUUGACAGUUUUGGUAAAAAUGAAUCUUUAUGUAAACCAAUGUAGACUUGGUCAAAAAUUCUGAUAAAAUCAGUUUAGGCUAGUUUAAGUAUAAAGAGUUAUUAUCGGGAAAAAUUAUUUUUAAAUAAUCAUUAUUUCAAAAAUCCAUUUUUCACACUUAGUCAAAAAGCACAGUUUUUCAUGAAGUGCAUUCUGGGGUCCUAAUGUCUGUUACCAACUCAUGGUAAUGAAGGCUUUUCAUGCCUUAAUUGUUGACCAAUAUGAAUUUUAUGAUUGAUGUGCAUGGUCUUAGCAUUUCUAGCACAAAUGAUGAGUUCUUUCAAAGCUUAUGCAAGCUUGAACUAACUCAUUCUUUUAGUAAAAACUUCAUGUGUCAAUUAUAUGAAUGAAGUGUAUAGUCUAUUGCUAAUGGAUAUAUGAGCAUAUGAAUGAU
This is an RNA transcript of Cornus florida, 4405 nucleotides long. It is a transcript of the gene named UDP-glucose:glycoprotein glucosyltransferase-like, with no coding region annotated. The record is from RefSeq and is a predicted model, not a curated record. The transcript has 4 exons. Lineage: Eukaryota; Viridiplantae; Streptophyta; Magnoliopsida; Cornales; Cornaceae.